UUAAAAGUGUGAUGUAAGUCGCUUUGGAUAAAAAGCGUCUGCUAAAUGACAUGUA
Molecule: non-coding RNA, 55 nt
Organism: Gasterosteus aculeatus (three-spined stickleback)
Lineage: Eukaryota; Metazoa; Chordata; Actinopteri; Perciformes; Gasterosteidae
Source: Rfam